This is a long non-coding RNA of Salvia splendens (bonfire salvia), 226 nucleotides long. RefSeq lists it as uncharacterized. The transcript has 3 exons. NCBI's taxonomy places the organism in Eukaryota, Viridiplantae, Streptophyta, Magnoliopsida, Lamiales, Lamiaceae. The record is from RefSeq and is a predicted model, not a curated record.
UAUAUAUAUAUAUAUAUCUCUUCCCACCAUCUUCUCCAUUAAUUCCAAAUCUGAGAAGAGAAGCACAACGAAAAUAGUUCCAGCAAUUGCAAAUUAUCCUAUCCAAUUGAAGAUCGAAAAGGGUAAAUUUGUGCACGUCGAUUGCUGUGAGAACGAAAAGUGAUUGAGGAGUUAAGCGUUUGAGGUUGAGCGUGACGGGUGCGGUGGGUGUUGAGCAAGACCGUUG